Molecule: long non-coding RNA, 10919 nt
Organism: Marmota monax (woodchuck)
Lineage: Eukaryota; Metazoa; Chordata; Mammalia; Rodentia; Sciuridae
Exons: 3
Source: RefSeq, a predicted model, not a curated record
GCGCGAGAAAGGGAGGAAGGCUCCCUUCCUUGAAAUCCUCUCGAAGGUCAAGUUUGAGUUUAGCUGUACAGAAGCGAAAGGCGUCGAAAAUGCUGCUACAGGGUCUGAGGGAAGGUUCUGCACGCAGACUGAUUUUGUAAUGGCUUUCUCCCCCUUAAACACCAGAUUAAUUUCUCUGAAACACACAAUGUACUGGCCACGUCCAGAGGCAGGAUGAUGAUAGAUAGUUUUGUAUGCCCAGAGCUAUGGUGUGUAUUUGUCUUCUACAUCAAGGCUGCAAUAUCCUUAAGCCAUAAAGCAUUGGGGAGGAGAUCAGGCAGCUUUAGAUCUACUUAGAGAGAGAAGUGCCUACACGUGGUCAGGGAAGAGUGGUGCGCGAGAUCUGUUAAAGGUGGGCAGUUAAAUGUCAGCUCCUCCAACUUACAGACAAUAGUAAAAGGUACACAAGCUUUGAAUACUGCUCUGAACUGCCCUUGAAGCACAUUGAUGGGAAAAAUGUCACAGGAGAAAAUCGCGGUUUCUGUAGUGCUUUGAGAUCCUCUAAUGGGAAAGCAGGAGAAUUGCGAAGUGACCUUGUUUCAUAGAUCUCUACUGUGACACUGGAACACUUAAAGGAUUUUCUACUGAGAAUUGAGGAAAUUCCCACUCAACACUUACACCAUGAAGAAAUUAAAUCUUGGAGAAACAGAGAAGUAAAGUAAUCUGUCCAAAGCUAACAGUGAGCAAAUGAUGGAGUCAGGUGAGAAACCACUCAUUUCAGUUCCAGAUCAGUGCCUAACCAUUGCAUGUUUCUGCCUAGCCAAGGUUCAGCAACUUGCCCAGGAAAUUUGGUAAGUGUUGGGUUGUAAAUUAGAGCCAUUGAAGUGCUUGGUUGUAAGUUCUCUCACUGUAUUUUACUUUAUUCCAAAUCAUAUUUUACUAUAUUGUAUACUUCUCAUCUUUCUCCUAAUGGAAUGUGAAUUUCUUUAAUGCAGAGAAGAUCACAUGAUUCCUUCUGUACUGAGAUUACACCCUAUUUUCUCUGGACAUUCUCCUAAUGUAAGAGGAAGCUAUUAAAAUAUAUUGAGUCAAAAAUGAAGAACUCUGCAGUCUUUAUAGGCCUGAAGAAUUACAACUGGAAUUUUGGUGAUCUAGAAAGAGUUGGCCAAGGGAAGAAGACAAUGAUUAAACCAAAACGGGGAAAAUAAUUGAUAAAAUAGGAAAGAACAAGAUAACAAACAGCAAUGUUUAUACUGCUCUUUCCACUUCCCAGACACUUUUCAUGGGUCGUGCCAUUGUGAUCUUUAUUUUAUGAAUGGGAAGACUGAGGGUCAGUUAUAUGACCUUCUCAUAUAUACAUAUGUUCUUAGAUGCAUGUAUAAAAAACAGGAAGAAAGACAGUGACCUGCUAAUCUGAGGAUCCUCUGUGGCUUUCUCAGGAUGUGUAUUGCUUGAUUUUCAUUAGAUAUUUCCUGUUCUAUACUCCCUGUACUACUGACUUGUCUUCUACCAGUCCUGUCAUGGUACCAAGAUGAUCCUUCCAAAAUCCUGCUCCUCUGCUAUACUUCAGUGUCUCUUAAGAGCAAAAUGACAUGAUACAUGAAAAGUGUCUGGCAAAUAGAAAGGAUUAUAGAUUUCAUGUGUUGAAAUUGAAUCCCCAUUGGGAAGUGGAAACUUAAUAUGACUAUGGUGUUUAGAAGUGUGGCCUCUGGGAUCUGAUUAGGAUUAGAUAAGUUCAUUACCAUGGGGUCCCCAUGACUGCAUCUUGGUGACGUUAUAAGAGAGACUGGAAGAUACAUGCACACACUCACACCCACCCUGUUUCUUGCCAUGCUAUGUCCUGAGCCACCUAAGCACUCUUCCAUAAAAAGUCCAUUUACCAGAUGCAGCCCACAACCUUGUACCUCUGGAACUGUAAGUAAACCUUUUUGUCUUCAUAGUGUACAUAAAGGUAUUUCAACAUAAUAACAAAAAGGACUAUUACAUCCUCUUUGGUUUAAAAUAUUUGAUUGUUCCUUAUUGUUUACAGGUUAUGUGACCUACUGUACCACAGCUCUGCUUUACAUUUUUAUCUUCAUUUCAGGCACUUUCCUCAGAUCUUUUAAUAUGAUUGCUUUAAAAUCCUUUUCAUUCCAGGAUGGACCACAUACUAACUCUUUUGUGACUUUAUCCAUGUUGUUCUCUCUGCCUGGAAUGUUCUUCUUUUCUCUCUCUCUCUUUUUUUUUUUUUUCACUCAUCCUGUAGGAUAAAGUUCAAAUGUAUUUCUUGCUGAAGGCUUUUUAUGAAUCUAUGGGUGAAAUUAACAUAUUAUCUCAUUAAUAUUAACUACAUUUUUAAAAACAGUAGCAGCUAACAUCUACUGAAUGCUUAAAUGCUCCAAUUCUAUUACUACUGAUGAAUAAAAAGAGAUUCAGUGAUGUUUUAGUCAACUUUUCUUGCUGCUGUGACCAAAAGACUCGAGAAGAACAGAUUUAGAGGUCUCAGUCCAUAGACAGCUAGCUCCAUUCUUCAGGGUUCGAAGUAAGGCAGAACAUCAUGGUUGAAGAGUGUGGUGGAGGAAAGUAGCUCAUGACUACCAGGUAAUGAGGGUGGGGAGGAAGCGGCCCUCUCACCACAGACAAAAUAUAAACCCCAAGGGCAUGCUCUCAUUGACUCACAUCCUUCAGCCAAACCCUGCCUGCCUACAGUUAUCACACAAUUAAUCCCUAUAGUAGAUUAAUGCACUGAUUAGGUUAAAGCUUUCAUAGCCCAAUCAUUUCACCUCUAAACUUUAUUGCAUCAUCUCACACAUGAGCUUUUGAGGGAUACCUCAUACUAAAUCCUAAUGAGAGACUUUGUAUAACUGCCCAAGAAGAUUUGGGUGGUAAAUUGUCAGAUCCAACUACCCAAACCAUUAGCUUAAUCACUUUCUUUGUUUCUUCCAUUGAUACCACAUAUUAGAGUGCAUGUUUAUUUAUCUCUCUCUUCAAAAACAAGAAUUUUAGAAAGGCAGCUAUUGGUUUGCUUUUGUGUUCUUUAUGCAAAAGAGCAGAAAUAGCUCUUUAUGCAUGAUGCAGAAGGAGCUCUAAACAUAGUUAAAAGACUAAUUGGAUAUCACACAUUACUCAUUCUUUGGGCUACAUUUUCCUCACUUGGACCACUUUAUUCUAGGCCACAGAUCAGCAUUGUACUACUUCAGUCUGUUCUCCCACUUUAAUGGCUUCUAAAGUCACUAUUCAUAAAAUUGACCAGCUUGACAACAGUUUACCUAUGAGCAUAUUUAUUUACCACCUUUAAAAGGCUUGAAUUGAAAACUAUACCCUAGACAUGAUCUCUAUAAAACUUGGAAUGCAGGCACUCUCAUUGCUGUUUUAUAUUUUGAGUUGAAUCAGAACUAGAUUUAAUCUUAUUAUUUUUUUAAUUUUUAUUUUUUGUAGUUGUUGAUGGACAGAAUGCUUUUAUUUUAUUUGUUUAUUUUUAUGUGGUGCUGAGGAUCAAACCCAGUGUCUCAUGCAUGCUAGACAAGCGCUCUGCUGCUGAGCUACAGCCCCAGCCCCAAAUCUUAUAUUUUUGAUAGGCACAAACUUCAAUAUCACAAUGUCAGAAUGUUCCCUUCCCUUUCUUUGAAUUAUCCAAGAAUUCUGCAGAUUUUCAGAGUCCUUGAAGAAGUCACAUGGCCACUGUUUGCCUUUAAGAACUUGGUGUCUUGGGUCUUCUGAGGUCUUGUGGCAUUGUUUCCUAUCACCAUGUUCCACUGCACAGAACUCUAAGCCAGGAAGAUCCUUUUGAAUGAGAGUGAUCUCACCAUAACUCAGAUCUUGGCACCCAUCCUUUAAUAUCAUAUAGCACCCAAGAAACCCCUACAGAUAUGCCAGGCUGGAAGGUACCCUCCAUCUCAGAAUCUAGUGUCCUACAUUUGACUCCUCAGAAUUCACUCACAAGGGCCAGUAGUCUUCCUUUUCCCUGGCUACACACAAAGGACCCAUUUUCUUCCUUCCUGUGACAAUAGAGCUUGUUUGUUAUUAAAGGGUUGAGACUAUUGAAAAAUGUAAUGUCUGCUUACUUCCGUAUUCUGGUGAGGGAAACAUCUCCUUUCCUUCACGAAGAUUCCAUUUUUGAAGGGCAGAAUAGUAAACUUCAUGCAUUUCUUGCUAAGGCAGCAAUAGCCAAGCACCACUUGUCUUCAGCAGGCUAUCCUGCUAAUUGGUGAAGUCUUUAGGGGGCACCCUGUUUAAAAAAAAUGCCAGAACUUACUUGUACAUAAAAGUGAGAGUUUUUCUCUCUAAAGGAGCCACUUCCACAUAACAAUUAUACAACCAUUGUUCAUUUUUUUGAAUUCUUUUUUUAGUUUUUUUUAGAGCCUACAGUCCAAUGUUUUUAUUACUCCCAAAGAGAGCAAAUAUUUAUACUUGAAAAUGGAUUUGAUUUUGGAAGGAACCCAGUGUUAUUUGGCUUAGUGUUCUAAGUAAAAUCAGUGUGAAAAGCUGUUUUUGGUUCAAAAGGAGGCAAAACUAUAAUGUAAUGACACUGAUUUGUGAGUCUUACCAAAUCCAAAAGGGGAUUUCCAAAUAUAGUGUCAGUGAUGGAGUAUUAGGGUAGUAAGAAUUAUCACCCCCAAAUUUGACUACACUAGCAAUGUCACAAAUUUGAAUACAAACAUCAUGGAGUAUUUAUGAACAACCAGUCCUGUUCCUAUCUUAAAGGCACAGUUUGCAAUUAUGUCCCAAAUUGUGACUGAAAAUCUCUAAUAAUGGGCUAAUGCUUCUUAGAUUCAUUGUAAGGGUGAAUCCCUGAGUUGGUGUUCAAAUCAGAUUUAUGAACACUGGCAUAAGUCCUGAGAAUCAGCAUUUUCCACCUGCUCCCAACUGAUGGACCAGGGACAUCUCUUAGCAUAUCAAUACCUUGGACUCCUUAGCCCUGUUAAGCAAGUUACAUUGGUUUAAAUUGAGUAUUGCUACUCACAUUAAGCUACACAUGGGUUAGUUUGUUCCUUGGAAAAAUAUUUGUUUGUGCUCAUAUACAUAUGAACUUUGCCUCAGAACAGAAUUUUCUAUGUACUUUAUUGAUGUAGAAACAGCAAAGACCCUGUGCCAUUUUUCUUACAUUGGAUAUUUCUUUAUUCAGAAUAUAACAGAUAUUUCUAUUGGAAAAAUAGUAAAGCACUUUAAAUAUUUACCCUAACUAAUCAUUACAUGGCAGAUAUCAUCACAUAUGAAAAAUCAAAGUACAUUUUGAUAUAUAUUUAAAGCUGCUAUUUUGGAUAUGACAAUUUUUGAAACUGAUGUAACAGAAGUUUUGCUAGCUAGCUAAAAACAAAACCCUUUUCACAACUAAAAUGUAAACAGCUAAGAUGUAAUCAGAAGACCAAAUUUCACAGCUACAAAAAACACAGCUGUGAAACAUAACUUUGGAGUGUAAGAAAGCCAAAUAUCUUUGCAUGCUAAUAAUGGAUAUUACAAAUGAAAAUGAGAAAGACUGUGCUAGAAAUUUUUAGUGUUUAAAUACCUUCACUCCUGUUAUCUGUUUAAUGGAGAAUAUUCUCAAGUACUUGCCAUAUAUUUAUUUUUUUUGAAUGUCUACUCUGUUUAUCUUGCUAGGAACUAGAAAAACAGAGAUGUGCCUGUUGUGUUUACUUUCUCAGUUUUGUGAUAAAACUUUUGAAUUGUGACACUUUUGGAUUGAGGGAGUUAGUGGACCUGUUUAUUUACUAAAUUUUUCUGCACAUUUUUAUCAUCUGUAAAAGAAGGUAUGUGAACUACAGAACUACAUAUUUUAAAUGUUUUCUUAAGUUUUGAAAUUCUCUGUAUAUAUCUUUUGAUCAGUCCAAAGGCAUUUUUCAAGGAAAUAUACUGUCAGGGUGUUGUAGUGAUCCUUGCCACAGAUGGUGAGAGAAAGAUAUUCUACUUUGGUAUGUCUGAAACAAGAGGUUUAGGUUAUGAAGUUUAUAUAAGAGUUUAAGGAAUUUGUCUCAGGUGAAGGGAUAGUUUCAACAUGUUUAGCAAAAGGGACAAUCUCUUAGUGUUUUUUGGGGGGUGGGGUGGGGCGGAAGUCUAAACAGCUUUCUAAGUGCAUAGGAAUUUUCACGGCCCAGUUUUGGUUUUCAGCCUUAAUGGAGAAGACAAGUAGUUGGGAGGUCUCAGAGCUGUCAAGGCAUUCUGUGUUUCUAAGUCAGAUCACAGAAAGCAAGGAGGAAGGCCUUUGAGUAGUGGGGCAGAGGUAGAUGUGGAUGUCUGAAAGUCAUAUAAUGCUUGAAAAGAAUGUGUGUUCCCUGAUAAUUGAUUGCAUAGUUUAGUGAAAUUCAUUAAACUGAUUUCAUUAAAUUUAUUUUGAUAAAUUUCUAUAACUAUUAAUUUUAUCUAAUUAGCUCAUUAGUAUUUAAAAGAGGCAGGUAAGUCUCUCUUAAUCAUUUUGAUUUCUCAAUUGAAAUCCUAUUUUUUUAAGUUCACAUUUUGUAAGUAGAUAGAUCUAUCCUAGUAGCUACCUCCAUAUUCUUUUGAUUGUAGUAUUUGAAAACCUAAGGUCUUUUAAAAUUUAGAAUCUAGAAUAAUUAUUAAGAGCAAAGUUUAGCAAACUGUAGUCUGUAGGCUGAAUUCAGUCCAAUAUCUGUUUUUGUAAGAAACUUUUAUUUGAACACAGCCACAUUUAUUCAUUUAUAUAUUGUUUAUGUGUACUCUCAAGAUACAAUGGGAAGACGCUGAGUAGCUGUGACAGAUUACAUGUGUUAGUAAGCUUUUUGUUGCUGUAACCAAAAUGAUCUACAAGAACAAGUUACAGGUGGAAAAGUUUAUUUUGGUUUGUGACUUCAGAGAUUUAGUUCAUGCUUGGUCAACUCUAUUGCUAUGGAACCAAGGUAAGACUGAAUAUCAUGGGAGGGAGAGUGGCAGUGGAAGAAAGUUGCUUGCCUCAUGGCAGCUGGGAAGGACAGAAAGAGAAAGAGAGGAGCUAAGAGGACAAGAGACAAUCCCCCAGGGCAGACUUCUAGUGACCCACCUCCUGCAGCCAUGCCCCACCUGCCCACAGUGACCGUAUAACAUAGUAGUUCUUUCAAAUUAUUAAUCCAGCUCAUGGAUUAAUCCACUAAUUACAUUACAGAUCUCAUCAUCUAAUCAUGAGCUCUUGGGGGACACCUCAUAUCCUAACCAUAACUAUUUAUUUUCUAAAACAUUAUAUAAAAAAUUUGUUGACCUCUGAUCUAGCUUAAUAAUCUUUUGGAUCAAUAAACAUGCUUUUCUUCAAGUACUUAGAGGAUUAUGAAAUUGUUUCAUUAUGUUAGCAGUGUAACAGGAGCUGUGAUGUGGAAGAUAUGCCUGGAUCAUAUAAACCAGCUUCUGUUUUUUGGUCUGGGGUUGUCCAAAAGAGAACUUACUUGGGUUUAAUUUACAGAGGCCAGCAGGAUCUGCAUCAGGUAAAAGUCACAUCUGCUGUCAAGGGAGAAACAAGAAUGUCAGAGAGUCAGAGGGACACUCUUUGAGCCUGAUAAGAUUCAUCCUCAGCGACUCAGACAGGAACAUUUUCAACCAAUAUGUGGACCUCUGUAAUAAAAGCCAGCCAAGAAAGCCAUGAGCUUUUUUUUUUAAAGUUGUUCUUUUUUAAAAAAUUUAUAUAUGACAGUAGAAUGCAUUACAAUUCAUAUUAUACAUAUAGAGCACAAAUAUUUCAUAUCUCUGGUUCAUGUCUUCAUACAUGUACUUUGGAUAAUGAUGUCCAUCGCAUUCCACUAUCAUUUCUAACCCUAUGCCCCCUCCUUUUCCCUCCCACCCCUCUGCCUUAUCUAGAGUUCAUCUAUUUCUCCUAUGAUCCCCCUCCCUACCCCACUAUGAAUAAGCUUCCUCAACCAUAUACAACAAAAUAAAAUUAAACCCCUAUCUCUCACCAUGCACAAAACUCAACUCAAAAUGGAUCAAGGACCUAGGAAUUAAACCAGAGACCCUGUGUCUAAUAGAAGAAAAAGUAGGCCCUAAUCUCCAUCAUGUGGAAUUAGGCCCCACCUUUCUUAAUAGGAAUUCCAUAGUGCAAGAAUUAAAAUCAAGAAUCAAUAAAUGGGAUGAAUUCAAACUAAAAAGUUUCUUCUCAGCAAAAGAAACAAACUGUGAAGUGAACAGUGAGCCUACAUCUUGGGAGCAAAUUUUUACCCCUCUCACAUCAGAUAGAGCACCAAUCUCUAGGAUAUGUAAAGAAUUCAGAAAGCUACACAAAAACAAUAAAUAACCCAAUCAAUAAAUGGGCCGAGGACCUGAACAUACACUUCUCAGAAGGUGAUAUACAAUCAAUCAACAAAUAUAUGAAAAAAUGUUCAUCAUUGCUAGCAAUUAGAGAAAUGUAAAUCAAAACUACUCUCAGAUUUCAUCUCAUUCCAAUUGGAAUGGCUGCUAUUAUGAAUACAAACAACAAUAAGUGUUGGCAAGAAGGUGGGGAAAAAGGUACACUCAUACACUGCUGGUGGGGCUGCAAAUUGGUGUAGCAAAUAUGGAAAGCAGUAUGAAGAUUCCUUGGAAAAUUAGGAGUGGAACUACCAUUUGACCCAGCUAUCCCUCUCCUUGGUCGAUACCCAGAGGACUUAAAAAUAACAUACUACAGGGACACAGUCACAUCAAUGUUUAGCAGCACAAUGCACAAUGGUUAAACUGUGGAACCAACCUAGAUGCCCUUCAGUAGAUGAAUGGAUAAAAAAAUGUGGCAUAUUUACACAAUGGAAUAUUACUCAACAAUAAAAGGGAAUAAAAUCAUGGCAUUUGCAGGUAAAUGGAUGGAAUUAGAGAAGAUAAUGCUAACUGAAGUUAGCCAAUCCCCCAAAAGCCAUGAGCUUUUAAUGCCAGAAUUUUCGAGGUAUUAUUUCACAAGAAAUAGAGGUCAAAGUUAUUACACAUUCAUGAAGAUUAAGUAGGGAUUUGCUCUGAAGAACAAACUGUUGUAUUUGAAAGAAAACAAACCCUCCCUGUGAUAAGGCGUGCAAACCUUCAAGUAUUUAAAAGGGAGGUGAGUUUUGACAUUGCUGGCGAAGAGUGUCCUGAUUGACCUACAAUAUCCACUCUUGGCAUGGUCCGCUGGCUCAGAGGAAGGUUAAACAGAGAUCGUCUUAUUUUAUUUCCUAACCAAGUCUGAGGUGGUGGAGUUUGCAGAACAGAGGAGACCAGGUCUGCGUCUCAGAACUUGUGACAGAAAGAUAGUGUAUCUUGUGUGGAGAGUGGCCUAAAGAAAAGGUGAUUGAAGGGAACCCAAUGACAACUGGGAGAAAGAUGAGGGAAAGGAGAGAGUCUGAACAAAAAACACCUUUCUAAGGCCUGCAUGGAUAGAUCUUGCUCCCCUCAGAUACAACCAAAAUAUUAAAUGUAGAAUUUAAUGAUCACUACAUUAUAUUUCAUGCUGUUUUGGAACAUCCCUUGAACAUUUGGUAAAAGAAAACUGAAAUGCACAUGUGAUCUCAGUUAGUAUCGGUCUGGUAAAAAGGGUUCUGGAAUGGUUAUCAGUCUAAAUCGACAAGAGUACCAAAUAGGCCCUUUUGUAAACCAUCAGAAAAGGGCUGCCCAGCCUGAAAGAUUAUGUGUUCUUGUUCUCUGUUUUACCCUGGGAUGGAAGUUUGAUGCCUUCUCUACUGGAUGGAGAAAAUUCCUGCUCCCUAUUCCAGAUUAACUAAAACUCUCAGUUGGAGGAGACAUUAUCAGGCAUUUGAGACUAGUAGAACUUAAUUGAAAUUUUCUUUCUGUAGUAAAUAAAAGAUUUAAAAUUAUAAAAAUAAUUUUGUUUUUGAGAGAAAACAAAAUAUCUUAUAUCAACAACAAAUUAACUUCUUUUAAAAAUUUAUUCCUCUCAAAUUUUUUUCUUUCUGUUAUGGAUACCAAUAAAUAUAUAUGAUGCUAUCAAGAAGAAUAAAAAUAUACCAAAUUCUUUUCACUUAUAAAUAUUUAAAAAUUAUUUCGUGAGUUUCAGAUAGUUUGGGGAAAAGGUUAAAUCUGAUCCAGGCAUCUGGGUUCCAUUAUUUUUUUGAUCUUCUCCUCACCUGUUGGGUCAAUAUGACUAAGAUGACAGCCCAACUAUAGGCACUAAUUACACACUAGUGGGAUCAACACAGUAGGCAGAAUAUGUUGAAAAGUCUAUGAGAGUUAUUCCAAAUGCUAAUGGGUUCUGAGGACAGGUUGAUAAUUCAUAUGUUUUUGUAUCUAGGUAGAGGUUGACCCUCAAGCAACAGAUAAUUUAAAAAUCAAUUUAAUAAAAAAUUAGCCAAAUAAAUUAGGAUAUGUUACUAAGAAGAAAAUAUUACAUAGAUCUAUAUAGAAUUGAAAAUAUUUAGAUAUCUGGAACUAAAAAAAUGCGAUUUUGUAUGCUUUAAGCUAAUAUAUAACUGAUAUCUUGAACUUCUUUUCUCCCCCUUUUCCUAUUUAUCCUAUUGCAGAUUUACCAAAGAAGAAAAAAUAAAAACAUUCCUUUCUCCACUUUUGCAAGAAGUAUUCGUAUUAAAAGUACUCAUAGUAUUUCUAAAAAUCACCAACUUGAAUCUAAUGUAUGAAAUAUGAUAUGUCAAGAGCUUUGUAAUGUUUUGAACAACCAAUAAAAAAAGAAAAAAAUAAAUCGAAAAAAAAACAAAAUCAUUGAUCCUUUGAUUUCUUAAAAAAAAAAAAAAAGUAUUUCUAAAAAUCUUAGCUAUCUUUACUGGUUUUCUCUUACCAAGUUUUCUGUUUUUGUUUUUUAGAUCCACUAAUGACCAAGAGGAAAGAUGGACAAAAGCAGUUAUUUUGAGCUGAUUUUAAAAUGGAAAGAGCAGAUUUUCCUAGCCCUAGAGGGGCUUUCUCAAAAUACAGAGAAAGGUCAUGGGUCAAUUAGGUAGAGGUGGGCAGACAUGGGCUACCAUCUCAUGCAGGACCCUGUGAAGGGUCAGGGCCUCUUGGGCACUGGUGAAUGAGUGCAGGUCCUUGAAUCUUGUAGGAGAAAGACUCCAUGCUCAAGCUUUGGAAGUUGUUUUAGA